This 481-nucleotide ribosomal RNA is filed under the name uncultured bacterium. Its description in RNAcentral is "partial 16S ribosomal RNA". It matches the Rfam family "Bacterial small subunit ribosomal RNA", at positions 30 to 506 of the family's 1533-position model. The record is from RNAcentral.
AUUGAACGCUGGCGGCAUGCCUUACACAUGCAAGUCGAACGGUAACGGGCCUUCGGGUGCCGACGAGUGGCGAACGGGUGAGUAAUACAUCGGAACGUGCCCGAUCGUGGGGGAUAACGAGGCGAAAGCUUUGCUAAUACCGCAUACGAUCUACGGAUGAAAGCAGGGGACCGCAAGGCCUUGCGCGGACGGAGCGGCCGCUGGCAGAUUAGGUAGUUGGUGGGAUAAAAGCUUACCAAGCCGACGAUCUGUAGCUGGUCUGAGAGGAUGAUCAGCCACACGGGGACUGAGACACGGCCCAGACUCCUACGGGAGGCAGCAGUGGGGAAUUUUGGACAAUGGGCGCAAGCCUGAUCCAGCCAUGCCGCGUGCAGGAUGAAGGCCUUCGGGUUGUAAACUGCUUUUGUACGGAACGAAAAGCCUUCUUUUAAUACAGGAGGGUCAUGACGGUACCGUAAGAAUAAGCACCGGCUAACUACGU